UCAGACAUCUGGAAAUUGAAGAGUAAAAUUAUAAGCACGGGAAACUCUAGCUAGAAGAGAAAAUGUAGUAGGAAAAAAUAACUAUUAUGUACUCCCUUUGCAACCCUCGAUUAACAACAUAUUAAUUGACAAUAUCAAAGAUUUUUCCGUGUCCAAAAACCAGACCAAGAUAGCCCCCACAUUAAGCUCCUAUUGCGAUGGUAUCAAAACCUAUUUUGUAUCUCCUGUCAUAGGGUGAGGGCCAAAUCAAUAUCCAAGUCUACAUAACAACAAAAUAACUAUAAUAGAAAGAGCAAGGGUAACCAAUUAUCAAACCAGAACUGCCUUCCAUUUAAGCUUGAUUAAAAACCACACAACAAUCAAGCAUCUGGAAAUUGAAGAGAAUAAAGAUAAGUAUGAGAAAGUCUAGGUGGAAGAUAAAUUUUAGUAGAAAAAAUUACUAUAAAAUACUCCCUCUGCUACCCUGGAUAAAACCUAUAUCAGAGACAGCGUGAAAGGUUUGAUCUGUGUCCAAUAACUUGACCAAGAUUAGCCCCACCUUAUGCUCCCUACUUUGAUAAAAUCAAAACUUAAAUUUUAUCUCCUGCCAUAGGAUGAGGAGAAAACAAUAUCCACGUCUACGUAGCAAACAAAAAACUGAUGAAAAAGAGAACCAAGCAUCAAACCAGAAGUGUCUUCAAGUUAAGAACCACACAACGACCAGACACCUGGGAUUGAAGAGUAUAACGAUGGAGAGUAUAACGAUAAGAACCAGAAACUCUGGGUAGAAUAGAAUAUGUAGAAGAUAAAAUACUAUUCUGUUCUCCAUCUGCCUCCCUCAAUAAACACUAUAUCAAUGCCGGCAUCAUAGAUUAGUCCAUGUCCAAAAACCCAACCAAGAUAGCCCCAACUUAGAGCUCCUACUUUGAUAGAAUUAAAACCUAUUUUGUAUCUCCUGUAACAGGGUGAGGCCCAAAACAAUAUCCAAGUCAACAUAACAACACAAAAACUACAUUUACAGAGCAAACGUAACCAAUUAUCAAACCAGCCUUCCCGUGAAGCUUGAUUAAGAACCACACAGAGAUCAGGCAUCUGCAAAUUGAUGAGAACAACAGUAAGCACGCGAUAGUCUAGGGAGAAGAUAAAAUGUUGUAAAAAAAAAUACUAUUCGAUACUCCCUCUGCCACACUCGAUAUUAACAGCGUCAAAGGUUUAUCUUCCGAUAACCAGAUUAGCCCCACCUUAAGCUCCUUCUUUUAAUACUUAAUUUUUAUCUCCUGUCAUAGGGUGAGGCAGAAAACAAUAUCCACGUCUACGUAACAAACAAAAAAUUGUUGAAACUGACAAAAGAUAACCAAGCAUCAAACCAGAAGUGCCUUCCAGUUAAGAACCACUGAACCACACAACGAAUCAUCAGACAUCUGGAGAUUGAAGAGUAUAACUAUAAGCACGGGAAACUUUAGGUAGAAGAGAAAAUGUAGUAGAAAAAAAAUACUACUCCAUGUACUCUUCCUAUUGCCACCCUUGAUUAACAAUAUACCAAUGACAGCAUCAAAGAUUUUUCCGUGCCAAAAACCAGACCAAGAUAGCCCCCACAUUAAGCUCCUAUUGUGAUAGAAUCAAAACCUAUUUUGUAUCUCCUGUCACAGAGUGAGGCCCAAAACAAUAUCGAGUCUACAUAACAACAAAAGAACUAAAAUAAAGAGAGCAAAGGUAACCAAUUAUCAAACCAGAACAGCCUUCCAGUGAAGCUAGAUUAAGAAGCUCAGAGCGAUCAAGCAUCUGAAAAUUGAUGAGAACGGUAAGCAAGGGCAAGUCUAGGUAGAGGAUAAAAUGUUGUAAAAAAAUUACUAUACUAUACUUCCUCUGCAACCCUUGAUAAAAACACAAUAUCAAUUUGUCAGCGUCAAAUGUUGGUCCGUGGCCAACAACCAGACCAAGAUUAGCACCACCAUAAGUUCCUAAUUUGAUAGAAUCAAAACAUAAUUUUUAUCUCCUGUCAUAGGGUGAGGCAGAAAACAUAAAUUCAUCAUGAUGAUCUUGAGGCUCCUCACCAGCGAUUAAUCUGUGGCCAGAGAAGAGAACAAUUGAGUAAAUUCAUAACUAUCAGCGUUUCCACCAACUGCCGAUAACCAUCAAACUAUCAGCGCGAAAGGAAAAGGACAAAAUAAACCUUCUGGCUUGAGAGAUCACGAGCUAUCCAAUCGGUUGCCCUACAGAUACAAACGAAAGUAAGCCCCGAUAACCAAUACGGCAGAGGAAAUCAUGAUCUAAAUAGACCGUCAAAACUUGAACUAUAAAAUCUGCACUCGUUGCGAAUAACUGAAUAUUAACCCAAAUCAGCAGAAGGAAUCACAAUAACCGAUCUACACAAAUCAAAUACGUCAAAGUAGAUUGAACAGAAAUCCUCCGCUAGGUCAUCUAUCCUCGCCGCCAUAUGUCAUACCAGACAGGGAAGGCUAAUGGAAAUCGCAACACAAGGAGAGAGUAACCCGAUCGAAAACACAAAACUUAAUCGCCAACGAAAUCGCACCACAAAACACAAUAACCCUAGAUAUGAAUUCAGGAGAAGAGGGCCACAAUAGAAGAAAAAUAAUAGCGAAACACGCAAAGAGGGGGGAUGGGUAGGAGAAUGUGGGGAGAUAUGGUAUAUAUAGUGAGUCAUAGAGAGACUUG
This 2655-nucleotide long non-coding RNA is filed under the name Salvia miltiorrhiza (redroot sage). RNAcentral describes it as "long non-coding RNA (SMIL_LNC005899)". The record is from RNAcentral. Lineage: Eukaryota; Viridiplantae; Streptophyta; Magnoliopsida; Lamiales; Lamiaceae.